RNAcentral lists this transfer RNA (72 nucleotides) under Camelus bactrianus (Bactrian camel). It matches the Rfam family "tRNA". Rfam says of the family: Transfer RNA (tRNA) molecules are approximately 80 nucleotides in length. Their secondary structure includes four short double-helical elements and three loops (D, anti-codon, and T loops). Further hydrogen bonds mediate the characteristic L-shaped molecular structure. tRNAs have two regions of fundamental functional importance: the anti-codon, which is responsible for specific mRNA codon recognition, and the 3' end, to which the tRNAs corresponding amino acid is attached (by aminoacyl-tRNA synthetases). tRNAs cope with the degeneracy of the genetic code in two manners: having more than one tRNA (with a specific anti-codon) for a particular amino acid; and 'wobble' base-pairing, i.e. permitting non-standard base-pairing at the 3rd anti-codon position. RNAcentral also lists the same sequence under 2 other names. Lineage: Eukaryota; Metazoa; Chordata; Mammalia; Artiodactyla; Camelidae. The record is from Rfam by way of RNAcentral.
GAGGGUAUAGCUCAGUGGUAGAGUGCACGCCUAGCAUGUAUGCGGUUCUGGGUUCAAUGCCCAGUAGCUGUU